AACGUCGCCUAUUUCCUUCACUCCAUAGAUGCUGCCCCACCCACUGAGUUUCUCCAGCAUUUUUGACUACCUUCGAUUUUCCAGUAUCUGCAGUUCCUUAAAAAAAUGUUUACUGCUACACACACUGAAUAAGGUGCAAAGUCAAAUAAAGUACCUGAUCGGUUAAUAGACACAAAAAGCUGGAUUACUUUUGUGUCUAUCUUCGGUUUAAACCAGCAUAUCUGCAGUUCCCUCCUAUACACUUGAUCGGUUAAGUUUGGGGAAAAAAUAGAUAUUGAAUAUCAAAUGCUAUUGGUUCAUAAAACAGUAGUAACAACAAUUUGGUUGUAUACUGUACUCUGUUCAGCAAGCUAAGGAAAGUAGUAAUUCUACAACAGAAGUAGAGAACAGAAGUACUCAAGGGAAAGGAAAGGAUCUGUUCUUUCUGAUUCCAAACUUUGUCUUCCAAUCUUCAAACUGUCGCUAGAUUUUAUGUGGGCAGUCAUAAAAGUUAAAUAGUAACUGUUUUUAUGGAACUUACUGGUGCAGUUGGUUGAAUGUUUUAAUUUUAAUCCGUGGAACUAGUGCUCAAGUUCAAACCACCGAGACAAAAUGAAAGAAUCCUUGUAUUUGAUCCACCAAGCAUACAAUUUAGUUGUUUGGUGUUCUCUGUGGCUGCUUAGAGGCCAUCUUCUCUUCACCACAAUAAAUCAAAUUCUGAA
This is a long non-coding RNA of Leucoraja erinaceus (little skate), 701 nucleotides long. RefSeq lists it as uncharacterized. The transcript is spliced from 2 exons. Lineage: Eukaryota; Metazoa; Chordata; Chondrichthyes; Rajiformes; Rajidae. The record is from RefSeq and is a predicted model, not a curated record.